RNAcentral lists this ribosomal RNA (427 nucleotides) under uncultured bacterium. RNAcentral describes it as "bacterial SSU rRNA". It matches the Rfam family "Bacterial small subunit ribosomal RNA", at positions 350 to 794 of the family's 1533-position model. The record is from RNAcentral.
CACAGUGGGGAAUCUUGCACAAUGGGCGAAAGCCUGAUGCAGCCAUGCCGCGUGAGUGAUGAAGGCCUUAGGGUUGUAAAAUUCUUUCACCGGGGAAGAUAAUGACGGUACCCGGAGAAGAAGCCCCGGCUAACUUCGUGCCAGCAGCCGCGGUAAUACGAAGGGGGCUAGCGUUGCUCGGAAUUACUGGGCGUAAAGGGAGCGUAGGCGGACAUUUAAGUCAGGGGUGAAAUCCCGGAGCUCAACUCUGGAACUGCCUUUGAUACUGGAUGUCUUGAGUGUGAUAGAGGUAUGUGGAAUUCCGAGUGUAGAGGUGAAAUUCGUAGAUAUUCGGAAGAACACCAGUGGCGAAGGCGACUUACUGGACCAUUACUGACGCUGAGGCUCGAAAGCGUGGGGAGCAAACAGGAUUAGAUACCCUGGUAGA